This is a small nucleolar RNA of Arvicola amphibius (Eurasian water vole), 126 nucleotides long. RefSeq annotates it as small nucleolar RNA SNORA40. The record is from RefSeq and is a predicted model, not a curated record. The transcript has a single exon. NCBI's taxonomy places the organism in Eukaryota, Metazoa, Chordata, Mammalia, Rodentia, Cricetidae.
AGCUCUUGUGUAUGUUUUCGUCACUGGUGGACAAAGGCAGGUUAUAUAGGAGCAAAAAUAAAUCUUCCUUUGCAACUCCAAACGCAUUGGUCAGCGUGAGUUUUGAUACACACAAGAAGGAAUAUA